AAGUCGUAACAAGGUUUCCGUAGGUGAACCUGCGGAAGGAUCAUUAACACGUAUCCACGUAUCUACCUCUUGCGAACUUGUUAUUUGUUUGUAGUUGUGUCUUGUAUAACUGAGGAAGCAGAUUACCAUGUCGUUCUGACAGAAUGUUCUGCUUGCCUGUCCACCCGUUGUUGAGUGCUAGUGUAUCGAGUUUGAUCCAUUAUUUCGGUGAUGAGGUCAAUCCUAUUAGCCAUAGCUCCACUGGGAUUGGGUACAAGAUAUAGCUCGAAUCAUGGUGGUAUUCACCAUUAACCCUUUUUUUUAUAAAUUGUCUUAGUGAGCGUCCUGGUGUAACAACUGGGCCUCCCCAAAAUUUAACUAUUAUACAACUCUUAGCAACGGAUAUCUCGGUUCU
Molecule: unclassified non-coding RNA, 394 nt
Filed under: fungal sp.
Lineage: Eukaryota; Fungi
Description: partial internal transcribed spacer region
Rfam family: Eukaryotic small subunit ribosomal RNA (bases 1-46)
Source: RNAcentral